CGCGGCAAGACGGAAAGACCCCGUGAACCUUUACUAUAGCUUGACACUGAACAUUGAGCCUUGAUGUGUAGGAUAGGUGGGAGGCUUUGAAGUGUGGACGCCAGUCUGCAUGGAGCCGACCUUGAAAUACCACCCUUUAAUGUUUGAUGUUCUAACGUGGACCCGUAAUCCGGGUUGCGGACAGUGUCUGGUGGGUAGUUUGACUGGGGCGGUCUCCUCCUAAAGAGUAACGGAGGAGCACGAAGGUUGGCUAAUCCUGGUCGGACAUCAGGAGGUUAGUGCAAUGGCAUAAGCCAGCUUGACUGCGAGCGUGACGGCGCGAGCAGGUGCGAAAGCAGGUCAUAGUGAUCCGGUGGUUCUGAAUGGAAGGGCCAUCGCUCAACGGAUAAAAGGUACUCCGGGGAUAACAGGCUGAUACCGCCCAAGAGUUCAUAUCGACGGCGGUGUUUGGCACCUCGAUGUCGGCUCAUCACAUCCUGGGGCUGAAGUAGGUCCCAAGGGUAUGGCUGUUCGCCAUUUAAAGUGGUACGCGAGCUGGGUUUAGAACGUCGUGAGACAGUUCGGUCCCUAUCUGCCGUGGGCGCUGGAGAACUGAGGGGGGCUGCUCCUAGUACGAGAGGACCGGAGUGGACGCAUCACUGGUGUUCGGGUUGUCAUGCCAAUGGCACUGCCCGGUAGCUAAAUGCGGAAGAGAUAAGUGCUGAAAGCAUCUAAGCACGAAACUUGCCCCGA
Molecule: ribosomal RNA, 732 nt
Filed under: Salmonella enterica
Lineage: Bacteria; Pseudomonadati; Pseudomonadota; Gammaproteobacteria; Enterobacterales; Enterobacteriaceae
Also listed under: 4 other names
Description: partial 23S ribosomal RNA
Rfam family: Bacterial large subunit ribosomal RNA
Source: RNAcentral